UACGUAGGGUGCAAGCGUUGUCCGGAAUUACUGGGCGUAAAGGGCGCGUAGGCGGCAAGGCAAGUCAGGUGUGAAAGCCCCGAGCUUAACUCGGGAAUUGCAUCUGAAACUGCUGUGCUUGAGUUCUGGAGGGGGUAGUGGAAUUCCCAGUGUAGCGGUGAAAUGCGUAGAUAUUGGGAGGAACACCUGCGGCGAAGGCGGCUACCUGGACAGAAACUGACGCUGAGGCGGCGAAAAGCUAGGGGAGCGAACGGG
Molecule: ribosomal RNA, 255 nt
Filed under: uncultured bacterium
Lineage: Bacteria
Description: partial 16S ribosomal RNA
Rfam family: Bacterial small subunit ribosomal RNA
Source: RNAcentral